Molecule: ribosomal RNA, 756 nt
Filed under: uncultured archaeon
Lineage: Archaea
Description: bacterial SSU rRNA
Rfam family: Archaeal small subunit ribosomal RNA
Source: RNAcentral
GGAUAACCUACCCUUAGGACUGGGAUAACCCUGGGAAACUGGGGCUAAUACCGGAUAGGCAAUUAUUCCUGCAAUGGUUUUUUGUUUAAAUGUUUUUUCGCCUAAGGAUGGGUCUGCGGCCGAUUAGGUAGUUGGUUAGGUAAUGGCUUACCAAGCCGUUGAUCGGUACGGGUUGUGAGAGCAAGAGCCCGGAGAUGGAACCUGAGACAAGGUUCCAGGCCCUACGGGGUGCAGCAGGCGCGAAACCUCCGCAAUGUGAGAAAUCGCGACGGGGGGAUCCCAAGUGCCAUUCUUAACGGGAUGGCUUUUCAUUAGUGUAAAGAGCUUUUGGAAUAAGAGCUGGGCAAGACCGGUGCCAGCCGCCGCGGUAACACCGGCAGCUCUAGUGGUAACAAUUUUUAUUGGGCCUAAAGCGUCCGUAGCCGGUUUAAUAAGUCUCUGGUGAAAUCCUGUAGCUUAACUGUGGGAAUUGCUGGAGAUACUAUUAGACUUGAGACCGGGAGAGGUUAGAGGUACUCCCAGGGUAGAGGUGAAAUUCUGUAAUCCUGGGAGGACCGCCUGUUGCGAAGGCGUCUAACUGGAACGGUUCUGACGGUGAGGGACGAAAGUUAGGGGCGCGAACCGGAUUAGAUACCCGGGUAGUCCUAACUGUAAACGAUGCGGACUUGGUGUUGGGGUGGCUUUGAGCUGCUCCAGUGCCGAAAGGGAAGCUGUUAAGUCCGCCGCCUGGGAAGUACGGUCGCAAGACUGAAACUU